CGAGCCCGAGCCCCAGCGGGCGGCGGCGGCGGAGGCGGGGGUUGCUGCGGGGGUCAAGGGCGGCCCCUCGCGGCGAUCCUCGGCGGUACACGCGGAGGCUGCGCUCCGGCCCCGGCAAGCGAAAGGGAGGGGAGGCAUGGAGGCUAGGAGCGGGAAGGACGGGGGAGCGGCCGGCUUGGUCUCCUCUCCGGUCGCCACCAUCACCACCGGCGGAUAGGCUGCGAUGGCGAUGGAGGGGCGGGCCCUGGAUUCCGCGUUCCGCGAGUUCAGAGUAGACUACGAGCAAGCCAAGCAACUCGCCGUCGGCGUCGCCGUCCACUCCGAUGCCUUCCCCACCGGUGGCCACAUGUGGAGGGCUGAGGAGGCGGCCCCGACGUGGUGCAGUGGAUGCAGAAGUGAUGUCGGCGAUCGAGGACGCCGGCGUCGAGGGCGCAAAGGUCGUGUCGGUGAAGUGGUCGACGAUGGAGGCGCAGUGCAGAAGGCGGCGGCGCUUCCGGUCGCUCACAGCACUCCCUAGAUCGGAUUAGGGUUUAUCGGUGGGUUUAGGGGGCACAGCGAACUUUGGCGUCCAUGCCCCUGCAGCCCCCACCUUAUCUUAUAUAGCGUUGGGCGAUGGGGGCCCACCAACCACAUCUCGGUUGGAUGUCCCCGAUCAUAGCGCGAUCAGGACUCCGACUCGGUAACGACCGAGUCGGACGAGAUCAACCCUAACAAUGCCUUGCUUGGAGAUGACGAACUUGGGGACUCUCCCUCUGAGAUGUUGCAGCAGCUACUAGCUGCGGCUGACCGGUACGAAUUGGAACAGCUGAAGCUUAUAUGUGCAAGAAAUUGGGUGA
Long non-coding RNA from Panicum hallii, 836 nucleotides. RefSeq lists it as uncharacterized. The record is from RefSeq and is a predicted model, not a curated record. Lineage: Eukaryota; Viridiplantae; Streptophyta; Magnoliopsida; Poales; Poaceae. The transcript has 2 exons.